AAUGAACGCUGGCGGCAUGCCUAACACAUGCAAGUCGAACGAAGCCUUCGGGCUUAGUGGCGCACGGGUGCGUAACGCGUGGGAAUCUGCCCUUGGGUUCGGAAUAACUCGCCGAAAGGCGUGCUAAUACCGAAUGAUGACGUAAGUCCAAAGAUUUAUCGCCCAAGGAUGAGCCCGCGUAGGAUUAGCUUGUUGGUGAGGUAAAAGCUCACCAAGGCGACGAUCCUUAGCUGGUCUGAGAGGAUGAUCAGCCACACUGGGACUGAGACACGGCCCAGACUCCUACGGGAGGCAGCAGUGGGGAAUAUUGGACAAUGGGCGAAAGCCUGAUCCAGCAAUGCCGCGUGAGUGAUGAAGGCCUUAGGGUUGUAAAGCUCUUUUACCCGGGAUGAUAAUGACAGUACCGGGAGAAUAAGCUCCGGCUAACUUCGUGCCAGCAGCCGCGGUAAG
RNAcentral lists this ribosomal RNA (450 nucleotides) under uncultured bacterium. Its description in RNAcentral is "bacterial SSU rRNA". It matches the Rfam family "Bacterial small subunit ribosomal RNA", at positions 29 to 524 of the family's 1533-position model. The record is from RNAcentral.